CCAGACUCCUACGGGAGGCAGCAGUGGGGAAUAUUGCACAAUGGGGGGAACCCUGAUGCAGCGAUGCCGCGUGGAGGAAGAAGGUUUUCGGAUUGUAAACUCCUUUUAUCAGGGACGAUAAUGACGGUACCUGAAGAAAAAGCUCCGGCUAACUACGUGCCAGCAGCCGCGGUAAUACGUAGGGAGCGAGCGUUGUCCGGAUUUACUGGGUGUAAAGGGUGCGCAGGCGGCUCUGCAAGUCAGGCGUGAAAGCUAGGGGCUCAACCCCUAAACUGCGCUUGAAACUGUGGAGCUUGAGUGAAGUAGAGGCAGGCGGAAUUCCCGGUGUAGCGGUGAAGUGCGUAGAGAUCGGGAGGAACACCAGUGGCGAAGGCGGCCUGCUGGGCUUUAACUGACGCUCAGGCACGAAAGCAUGGGUAGCAAACAGGAUUAGAUACCCCCGUAAAC
This 447-nucleotide ribosomal RNA is filed under the name uncultured bacterium. RNAcentral's name for it is "bacterial SSU rRNA". It matches the Rfam family "Bacterial small subunit ribosomal RNA", at positions 331 to 795 of the family's 1533-position model. The record is from RNAcentral.